GUUGCAUGGUUUCUCUCAUUUGUGGUAACUAGAAUGUACUUAAAAAUGUACAAGUAAGCACUGGAUGGUAAAUGAAAAAAAUACACUAGAAUGGGAUAGAUUAUACAGG
Molecule: microRNA precursor, 109 nt
Filed under: Dipodomys ordii (Ord's kangaroo rat)
Lineage: Eukaryota; Metazoa; Chordata; Mammalia; Rodentia; Heteromyidae
Description: miRNA (ENSDORG00000027738.1)
Source: RNAcentral